Molecule: ribosomal RNA, 415 nt
Filed under: uncultured bacterium
Lineage: Bacteria
Description: bacterial SSU rRNA
Rfam family: Bacterial small subunit ribosomal RNA
Source: RNAcentral
ACAAACGCUGGCGGCGUGCUUUACCAAUGCGAGUCGAACGGGUUCAUUGCUCCAGGGUUUACUCUGGAGCAGCGGAUCAGUGGCGUCCGGGUGCGUAACACGUGGGUGACCUAGCUUCACGCGGGGGAUACCCUUCCGAAAGGAAGGCUAAUACCGCAUAGACUGCCUCCCUGUGGGGUGGCAGGAAAGCUCCAGGAGGUGCAAACCGCCUGGGGCACGUGAAGGGGGGCCCGCGGCCUAUCAGCUGGUUGGUGGGGUAAUGGCUUACCAAGGCUACGAUCCGUAACCGGCCUGAGAGGGCGGUCGGUCACACUGACACUGACAUACGGGUCAGACUCCUACGGGAGGCAGCAGUCGGGAAUUUUGGGCAAUGGGCGAAAGCCUGACCCAGCAACGCCGCGUGAAGGAUGAAAAU